UACCUCAGUAACGGCGAGUGAAGCGGUAACAGCUCAAAUUUGAAAUCUGGGUCUUUCAGGCUCCGAGUUGUAAUUUGUAGAAGAUGCUUUGGGUGCGGCCCCGGUCUAAGUUCCUUGGAACAGGACGUCAUAGAGGGUGAGAAUCCCGUAUGUGAUCGGUGGCUUGCGCCCGUGUAAAGCUCUUUCGACGAGUCGGGUUGUUUGGGAAUGCAGCUCUAAAUGGGUGGUAAAUUUCAUCUAAAGCUAAAUAUUGGCCAGAGACCGAUAGCGCACAAGUAGAGUGAUCGAAAGAUGAAAAGCACUUUGGAAAGAGAGUUAAACAGUACGUGAAAUUGUUGAAAGGGAAGCGCUUGCAACCAGACUUGCGCGGGGUUGAUCAUCCGGGGUUCUCCCCGGUGCACUCGGCCUCGCUCAGGCCAGCAUCGGUUUCGGUGGUUGGAUAAAGGCCUUGGGAAUGUGACUCCUUUCGGGGAGUGUUAUAGCCCUCGGUGCAAUGCAGCCUACCGGGACCGAGGACCGCGCUUCGGCUAGGAUGCUGGCGUAAUGGUUGUAAGCGACCCGUCUUGAAACACGGACCAAGGAGUCUAACAUCUAUGCGAGUGUUUGGGUGUCAAACCCAUACGCGUAAUGAAAGUGAACGGAGGUGAGAACCCUUAAGGGUGCAUCAUCGACCGAUCCUGAUGUCUUCGGAUGGAUUUGAGUAAGAGCAUAGCUGUUGGGACCCGAAAGAUGGUGAACUAUGCCUGAAUAGGGUGAAGCCAGAGGAAACUCUGGUGGAGGCUCGCAGCGGUUCUGACGUGCAAAUCGAUCGUCAAAUUUGGGUAUAGGGGCGAAAGACUAAUCGAACCAUCUAGUAGCUGGUU
RNAcentral lists this ribosomal RNA (863 nucleotides) under Pezicula radicicola. RNAcentral describes it as "eukaryotic LSU rRNA". It matches the Rfam family "Eukaryotic large subunit ribosomal RNA", at positions 76 to 956 of the family's 3401-position model. Lineage: Eukaryota; Fungi; Ascomycota; Leotiomycetes; Helotiales; Dermateaceae. The record is from RNAcentral.